RNAcentral lists this long non-coding RNA (1652 nucleotides) under Notechis scutatus (mainland tiger snake). RNAcentral describes it as "lncRNA (ENSNSUG00000020152.1)". The record is from RNAcentral. Lineage: Eukaryota; Metazoa; Chordata; Lepidosauria; Squamata; Elapidae.
ACAUUAGUCUAUUGUUUUGCAAAAAAAAACCAAAAACCAACCUCUGAUUAGUUGUUACUUUCUGCUCUGCACAGGUAUUAGGUAUAUUUACUAUCCAACUUGUUUUCACCAUUCCAUCCUACUCCAGGAUCCUUUUCAUGUCGUGACAUCUUCCAUGGACUUUUCACUUCGUGUAUACUUCUGGAAAAAUAGCAAAUCCUCUUUGUUGACAAGUUGCUAUAAUUUAUUGGGAGGAUCUCACAGAUGGUCAAGUGGCUUCAGAUCUGUGGCAUGCGAUGAUGUCAGCAUUGUUGGAAUAGUGGCUGGAAUUGAUGGCAAAGACAGUUUAAGAGCAUAUUCCUUUCAUCUGUAAGAGUUCUAUGCACUUCAGUUUCACUCUAAACCUUAUCCACUAAGUUGUCCAAAUCAAUUGAUAAUGGAAGCAUGAUUGAAACCACAACUAAUUGACUGAAGUGAUCUUACCUUUUCAAUAACCAGUUUGACUAAAUUCCACUUGGCUUGAAAAAAAACCACAAGAGCUGUUUAGCUUUAUUAAAUGUACCGUAUACCUUAUAUGUGCAUGUAUAUACAUAUAAUUUUACAUUCUAUGUUUAUAUAUGCUUGUUUUGCUUUUUCUAUUUUUCCAUUCAUAAAGGCUUUCUAAAAAUUAAUUCUGAAUGUACAGUAUAAGUUAUAUUGUCCAGGUUUUUGUGCAUUGUGUGGGAAAACUUCACAGACUAAAUGUGGUCAUUAUAAAUAAGCAGGUAACUUGUUCGCUGCAUGAACAAUGUGUAUUUCAAAAAUAAUUUCAUAGGUAUCACCAAAGGUUAUGGACUAGAUAUACUUUGUAGUGCUCUUUAAGACAUUCUAAUUUAAUAAUUGCAUAUAUUGAACAGGACCACCCAGAGAACAACUUUUGGGAUUCUUUCCUAUUCUUUAUCACCAGUGACCUUAGGAGGCAUCUGUAUUCUUUUUCAUGUAACGAAAUAACAUGCUGUGCCUAUUGUGCAGACAUAUUGCUUCUGUCACGUGUGACAAUCUAGUCUGGGAUAUGAGAAACUAUGGACAAUAAUUUAGUAGGUACAAGAGGCAAGCCAGACAAGAAACAGGAGUGGGGGUCGUGAGAAGAAAAAAUGUCCAAGAUUCUAUCUUAAGUGGCAUACUGUGGAUACUACUUUUAGUUUUUUUAUUUAAACUGGGAACUUACUUUUAGUUUAAGAUUAUGCUUUUAUCCCAAAUAUUAAUGCCCUAAUGAUAUUUUCAAUCGCUUUCUGAAAUUUGCUUGGUUCUUGUUCCUUGAGUUCACCAGCUAUGUGAGCUUAAAAAGGGGUGCUUAUCAGUGGUGGGAUUCAAAAUUUUUUACUACCGGUUCUGUGGGUGUGGUAGGGGAAGGAUACUGUAAAAUCUCCAGUCAGAGGUGGUAUUUGCUGGUUCUCCGAACUACUCAAAAUUUCCGCUACCGGUUCUCCAGAACUGGUCAGAACCUGCUGAAUACCACCUCUGGUGCUUAUGUUUCCAGUUUCUGUUGUCUUGUGUUCUGUUUGUAUAUUUAUAUUCUGCACUGAGAAGGGGAGGGAGGGUUAGAAUGGAGCCACUGACAAUAUUUCAAGAUACUGUCCAAUUGUCUUUCCCAGAUGAAUAAAUUAGGAAAAACAAAAUUUGGAAUUCUUUUU